Beta vulgaris subsp. vulgaris (sugar beet) is the source of this 833-nucleotide long non-coding RNA. RefSeq lists it as uncharacterized. Lineage: Eukaryota; Viridiplantae; Streptophyta; Magnoliopsida; Caryophyllales; Amaranthaceae. The record is from RefSeq and is a predicted model, not a curated record. The transcript is spliced from 3 exons.
UUUUUCCAUUUCUAUCUUAGUUCAAACUUUACACCAUAAAAAACGUAAAUUGAAUUCUUUCUUUUUCACUCCCACAACAAAAAUUCAAUCUCCUCAAUCACAUUGAUAUUUUCAGUUUAAAUAAACUUUCAACUUUUUCUUCAAUUUAGCUGCAUAAGCAUACUCAUGUGGGAGGCGCAGCUUGGGUGGCUAAAGUAUUAAUAAAGCAGAGUACGUAUAAUCAAGGUCUUUGUUUCUUCGCAUUAUCGGCUCUUACUACAUAAGCUAAAGUUUGCCUUCUAGCUUUACUAUGGGUAAAAGGAACAGAUGUCUCUCGCCUCCUAAUUUACACAGAUUCGCACAAUCUGAUUUAACAAUUAAAUUCGAUCAAAGCUUCAAUCGUUAUUGUUCUAGAAGGCAUCAAUUUCGCUUCAAUCGAUUUCAUCAUCAAGUUUAUUCAAUUUCGCAGCAAUUGAUUCAUCAUCAACUUUCUUCAAUUUCUGCAAUUUCAGUGUUCCUCCUUUGAACUGACCGGCGCAACCACCACCGGCUGAGUGCCACCAUCCGGCAGCAGCAGCCGGCGACAGCAACACCACCUCCCUCCUUGCCGUGUCUCUCUUUUCUUCUUUGCUUUGGUCUGAAGAUGAUGCAUCAUGAGUUCGAGAUUGGAGAGCUUGUGUUAACUAUUUAUUAUAUUUGACUUUAUAUUUUUUAUAGUUGACUUUGAUAUUGUCGUUGACUUUGACUUUCAUUGUUUGAAUUUUAGAGUUGACUUUUUGGUUGACUAAGUUUUAUUUCUAAACCUUAUUAUGUUUUCCGCUGCAAAAUUCUGAAUAAGUUGAAACGUUAUCACA